AUACAAAUUGCCUGGGAUCUUGUUAAAAUGCAGAUUCUCAUUCCAUCUGCCUGGGUGGGAUCUGAGAUUCUGUAUUUCUAGACUUCCAGGCUAGACUAAU
This 100-nucleotide microRNA precursor is filed under the name Marmota monax (woodchuck). The record is from RNAcentral. Lineage: Eukaryota; Metazoa; Chordata; Mammalia; Rodentia; Sciuridae.